This is a long non-coding RNA of Macadamia integrifolia, 5069 nucleotides long. RefSeq lists it as uncharacterized. The transcript has 2 exons. Lineage: Eukaryota; Viridiplantae; Streptophyta; Magnoliopsida; Proteales; Proteaceae. The record is from RefSeq and is a predicted model, not a curated record.
CUCUAUACCCAUCAUAUUUUUAUGGUUUUUGUCAAUGAUAUAGUUUUGAUUGAUGAGACUUAAGGGAGGAAAAUUAAGUUAGACAACAACAACAAUCAUAACCUUAUCCCAACUAAAUGGGGUCGGUUACAUGGAUCCAAUUUGGAAAUCAGAAAAUAAAGAAGCACAAAAGAGAGGAGGUUAGAAUGAGGAAAAAUGGAGAUAAGAGAAGAAGGUUAUAACCAAAGGAUUUCAAAAUAACAUUAAAGAAGAUUGCAUAUAAAGGAGUGCAUUUUCAAGGGGGAAGAAGUAGAUGGAAAUGAGGAGUUCCAUUAAUAACCUGUUGUGUUAUUGGAUUUUUGUUUUCUUCGUGAUUUUUUCUUCUCCUUCUACUUCACCUCGCUACUUAUUCUUCUACUUUCCAGAUCGGUUUCCUUACCAAAACCCUGUCCAAAGGGUAAAUUGCCAUGAGGAUCAGCUUCUUGGGAAGAUGAAGAACAAUCGCCCGAUACACAUCACUGUCUAUGUAGGGGAAAUCGUGCUCCCAAGCAAGAUUAUAGAUAGAUCCCGGUCAGCCGUGAAUGUUACAACUAGUUGCGUCCAAGGUUAUAGGUAUUGGUAGCGGUAUUGGAAGUAUGUUAUUUUUUACCGGUACAACCGAUUGUAUUGAUAUUUAUUGGUAUCAAUCUCUGGCAAUACCAAUACAUAUCGGCAUAUAUACCGAUACCUUAACCAUGGUUGUAUCCCAGAUUAGAUUAAAACCUAAACAGUGGAGAGGGUAAAUAGCCAAAACUCUCUUACUUGCCUUCUUUAUUUUUAUUCUUGACACCAUAGCCCCUCUACGAAGAAUUAGUUAUUUUGCAAAAGGGUUACAAUAAUGUAGUUGUAAACAUAUUGAGAAAGAUAUAAAAUGAAAACUAAAGAAGGCAAGUGAGAGAGUUUUAGUGAUCUAUACCCCACAGAAUGCUACCAGUCUUUGCAAUUUACCCAUUUUAGUUUUUACUAGAAGACAGUUGAGCUAGUAACUUGAUUCAGAGAGCAACCCCAAUUCCAAAGAGUAUAGAAGUAGAAAGAAGCAGCAGGAAGAUGGAGAAGAAAGCAGGAGAAAUAAUAUUCAAGGGAUGUAAUUUUUUUUUUUUUUCAAAAGUAUUCAUGAUGGUGUUUUGGAGGAGUCUAUGCAUAUGAACUUUGUUAAUUUCCAUUCUAUUACUAGAUCUUCAAAGAUUCCAGUAUGAAGGUAAAACUUACUUUUAGUUCUAUGGGUAGUUGAGCUUAAGUUCGUAGCUAAAAUUCAUCUUAAUGGGAUGAAUUGUAAGAGACCAAUAAUCGAAGUAGGACAUUGAUUAUUGAUAUCAUGUAUCCAAUGAGAUACGCGGGUUCUCAUACAUUUAUUACCACAGUUAAUAACUUUCUUAGUAAGGACAGUACUCGGUUUGUUUCAUCGGUUACAGUUUUCCUCCUUCCAGCUCAUCGGUUACAGUUUUCCUCCUUCCAGUUCAUCAGUUACUGUUUUCCUCCUUCCAGCUUCUGCUAUAUAUGCCUCCAACAAUUCCUCUGGAAGCAUGAAGCCUUAGACUCUUCUUCUUUACCAACUUAUCUAGUCUUUGGCCUGACCACUGGGAAACCUUGGGAAACUUCAACUAGGUUUUUCUUGUUGAAGAGGUGGUGUGAAAAAAAUUGUGUAGAUUCUGCAGAGCUGGUUGAUCUCACACGAGGACUGUAGAUUUACUUGGUCCAACAAGUGCUCAAGUAAGGGAAGAAUAUAGUAUAGGCACAAAUUAGUCCUAAACAAUCAGAGCUUGAUUUCUCAAUACCCUAUCUGAUGCUACCUCUGUUAACCCUGGCACUUAUAUCCAAUCUCCUAUGAUGGCUACAUAGUCUUAUCUAGAGUUUUCUCCACACCUGAAAACAAGAUGAUGGACUCCAUUUCUAGGCUUGGAACAUUUUUUGACCUUUCACUCCAUCAUCUUGACAAAUAUAACUUUUUUGUUAUUUUCAGCUCUAUUUAUCUAACAUAAUGACUUGUUUCCCUAUGGUAACUGUUGUUUCAUUUCUUCAAGCAGUUUCUAACGUUAUGCCAUCUAUUUACAGUGAUGAAGAAGCCCUCUUUCUUUUCAGCUAAGGACAAUGAGAAGACGGGAAAAGAAAACAAAACAAAUUGGAUGCUUCUCAUAGGAACAAAAAGAACGAAACAAUUUGGAUGCGAAUUGCUGGGGGAAUGUUUUCAUCGGAUCAAUGAUUUACCAGUACCUAAAAUCAUCUUCUUAGAUCUUUGUUCUCAGAUGGAGUGGUAAUCAUUUUACCUGUUUCCCCUCUAGAUUUUCUUGCUGAAUUUAUAAUAUCUUCAAGAAAUUGUGUUAUGAGACUAUCCAGGCCAGGAAUCGCAUGAUGACACUUAUUUAAGCAAUGAAAGAUAUAUCGCAUGAUACACUUAUUUAAGCAAUGAAAGAUAUCUAAACAAAUAUCUGACGUAAUUCCGUUCAUCUGCUUCCAGCGCCUCACAGAUUAGGUUCUCAAUCACAAUUCUACUUUAAUGAUUAUCGAAAAACACAGAACAAUGUGCUUCAGAUGCAACCUAUUGAAGCUUAUCUCAGAAGGUGAUUACUACUUUGUGGAUCUCAUUGUGGAAAUGGGGUCCCAAUGUAAUGGAACCGAGGAUAAUAAGGUAACAUAUGAUCAAACCCAUUCUUGCUGAACUUGAAUCUACUGGCCCAGUUGAUGGUGAAUUUGGAAUUUCACUACUUCCAGCAGCUGGGAAGCUCUUGAUGAUUUCUUCCGCCAAAAGAUUAGGUUAUCCCGAUCAAGCCCUAGCAUGAAAGAGGUUGUGCAAAGACAUGUUGAGGAAGUUGUGCCCUAUUCCUGGCAAGGAAAGGAAACUAUAUGCAGUGGGUACUCCAAAAAGUCUUACCAUGGAGAAAUGAGAUGAUGGAUAUCAAGUGCUCAAUAGAUUUUUCUGGGACUAAUGCACUGCAUUAGGCAGCACGGUAGUACGGCUCAAGAUGGGGAUCCCUCUGCUGUGGCUUCUGCUACUUCUGCUAUUGUUGGUAAUGUUGUCCAAGCUUUAGCAAAACUGCCAGGUUUCAUGCCAGGCAGUCAUUAUCUGAACUUCCCAUCCACAAUAAGCUCAUUGAAUUAUGCUCAAUGCCUUGCACAAAUUCACAUUACCUGCCUCUGCUUACUUAAGGAAGCUAGAGCCAAAGCUGUAUAUUUGAGAUAGCUUUUGCAACAGAAUCUUUGUCUGCUGUUUCAGGAGCCUUUGCACUUGGAACUGAUAAGCUUCUAACAGUUGCAAUAGAGAGGAAUUAAACCGGAAAGAUUCCUGUCUUGAAGCACAUCUUGAAGAGGUGAGGUGUACAGGGAAGGGGAAGUUGCACAGGUGGUGCAUGGAGGAGAUGAAGAGGAAAGUGAAGGACAAAAAUGUCAAACAAAAAAAAUGUAUGUGGGAGAGGGAGGAGCAUUGUUUUGGGUAGUUUUGUAAUACCCAACUUUGUCUUAGUAAUUUGGUUAAAGGAAAGAUUAGGUGGGUACUUUGAUAAACUAAAACAUUUGUGAAUAGUUUUGUCUUUGAGGUGGGAAAACCAUUUCGGGAGCUUCCUGUCUUUCAGAAGUUCAGUCUAAUUGGGCUUUGGAGGGGGUGCCUGGUGUACGAGAUCGAACCAAACCAAUUGACAACAAUGCUUUGGAGAUUGAUUUGAUUCAAUCUUGAAAGCAUUGAAAGUAUAGCGCUACGGCUGCUUAAGGUUAAGUGAACCACAUAAGCAGAUGAAACGGAUUCAUUUGGUCAGGGUGGUGGGUGUUGAGGCCUACCUCGGGAUAUUACCCUAUCGUAUCACCCUGCAUCUCUGGCUUGUGAUAUGCCCUUGUUGCUCAAGACAGGAAGGAGUAGCUAGCAUAUGCAACAGCUGGUCUAUCAGGGGCGGAUUGGUGAACAGCUAUAUAUACAAAUCCAUUUACGAAUCUAUAUGCUCCGAUUGGAACUGGAAGUUCCAGAACAUGCGGCUGGUAUUCCACAAUAAUAAAACUGCCUUUUAUUUUUUGUAUUCGGAUAGGAUUUCUGUUGGCUCAAUUUUAAGUAAUCUUGUAUUUUUCCCUAUUUUUUAUACCAUCUUUUCAUGUGUGGCUUGUUGAUUGAUAGGUCCUGGAAAAUGGAAUAAAUUAUGGCCAAUAUAUGAGUAUUCAAAUUGGACCGCUAUUGGUGUGUUUCAUGAGUAUCAGGAGUCAAUAUUCAAAAUAGGCUGGAAGAUAUAACAGCAACAACUACUACUACUACGACUACUGGAAGGUACCAACCUCUAUGCAUUCAUUUUGCUUAUGGCAUAUGCAUGGAUAGAUACACCCAGAUAUGAUUAACUUCUGAUACAGAAGUUGACAUCAUGAAGCAGCUUCACUCUAUUGAGAUUCGGAAUUGUUAGUAGAAUUCUUUAUGGAGGAAGAAGAAUUUCUUUCUUUGAUCUUCUUAUGAGCCUCUUCUCCUUGCGGAGGUUAUAUAGAGAAAAGAUAGGGUAUUUGGAUAUUAUUUGUAUCAAUGAUUUGGUCAAUAAUGAUUACAGCCUCUUAAGCAAUAGGGUUGACCAUUCUCGCUUGGUUGAUAAUCAUGGAAGGCAAUGCUGGUACUGAAUCCCACAAUUGUUGCCCAAAUGCACAGCUCCUUCAGCUGCAAGAAGAGCUCUGCAAUUCAUCUGUACAUAAAUCUAUGCAAUAUUCAAGUGCAUACUGGAAUGGUCCUUUCUUCUCUGUCCAUUAUAUUGGAAAACUGUAGUGUACAUCAUUACUGGACAGUCAAGAGGAAGAAAAUUUUGCAUCUCCACCACAGGGAGCUUGUGCUGAUGAAGAUAAACUCUUAUUUUUAAACUCAUGUUGAUCUCAUAUCUGUUGGAAGUUUUCAGCUUAAAUGCUUAAGCUCAUGGGUGGAGUUACCUUCCAAGUGUAUAGUCUCAACUCCAAGGUCCCAGUAAACUGAUGUGGAACUAUUCCCAACAUUAUCUUUUGUUAUCAUGUAAGGUCCUUGCCAUCUGUUCUAACAAACUUUAUUAAUGCAAUCCUAUAAAGGGACUUAAGAUAAACUCAUGCCAUUCUUGUGCUGCUACUGA